Molecule: ribosomal RNA, 253 nt
Filed under: uncultured bacterium
Lineage: Bacteria
Description: partial 16S ribosomal RNA
Rfam family: Bacterial small subunit ribosomal RNA
Source: RNAcentral
GACAGAGGGUGCAAACGUUGUUCGGAAUUACUGGGCGUAAAGCGCGUGUAGGCGGCUAAGUAAGUCGGGCGUGAAAUCCCACGGCUCAACCGUGGAAGUGCACUCGAAACUGCAUAGCUAGAGUCCUGGAGAGGAAGGUGGAAUGCUUGGUGUAGAGGUGAAAUUCGUAGAUAUCAGGAGGAACACCAGUGGCGAAGGCGGCUUUCUGGACGGUAACUGACGCUGAGACGCGAAAGCGUGGGGAGCGAACAGG